This is a long non-coding RNA of Panthera uncia (snow leopard), 1368 nucleotides long. RefSeq lists it as uncharacterized. The record is from RefSeq and is a predicted model, not a curated record. The transcript has 4 exons. NCBI's taxonomy places the organism in Eukaryota, Metazoa, Chordata, Mammalia, Carnivora, Felidae.
GCUUCCGGAGAGGAGGAAAAUUCCUCGCACAGCAUCGCUCCCUUAAGAAGGCGUGUCACUUAAACGAACAGCGCUGAGAUCCAGAUGAAGCUGGGAGGGUGGAGGGCACUGCCCGGCGCGCAGGUGCUGUGCGAGCCAUUUUAGGGCUCAUCUUUGCAACCAAAUUUGGAUCAUACUAGAUAGACAGGCCGUCAGUUCGUUAACCCAGUGGGAAUAAAGGAGAACAAAUCGAAGUAAAAUAAGAGGGUUUGGCCAUCGCGGUACACGGUGUGCUGAUGGUGACGGUGUCGGAUGAUCACCUGUUCUGCCUCUGCCCUGACACAGCCUCUGGGUCAGUCCAAGCCAUCUGGGCAAGAAAAUACUCCAAGACGUUUUCUCGUCAUGAGAAGCUGAAAAUCAUCCAUAAAAGUGGUAAUUAUGGCUAUGGUAUACGUUGUGUCGAUGCACCAGGCUCACAGGUAAUCAUUUCAUUAUUGAAACUAUCGCGCAAGGUAGGUAUGAUCGUGACCAUUUUUUAAGGAACUAAAGCUCAGAGGAGUGAGACACUUGCCUAAAUUUGCAAGCAUUCAGUGCAUGAGCUAAAUGCCCAUUUAUUUCCAAGGGGCCUUGGGCCUUCCUGUUCUCCCCCAAUACCCGCGUGUGGCGUUCGGAACUAGGAGGUCUCGUGGCAGCUCUGGGAGAAGGUAUGAGUCCCGGCUGUUCGCCGUGCGCUAUGGAGCACGCCAUCCAAGUGGCCGUUACAGAACGGAGCAGGGAUGGGGGUGGUGAUGACAGCUGCUGCCCUGCUAACGCGCCAGGCGCUGGGCACCUGUGACGAGGCCAGCUGUGCUGAGUGCCAUCCAUGCCUCCCCUCCUCAAACCCCCACAACAGCUCUGCGGGGUGGGCACUUCCCAUCUUCCCACUCUGUGUGCGUGGAAACGGGCGCAGACAGCUCAGACGGACUGCUCUAUGGAGAUCACACCAGCCUGGUAUCUUCCUGCUGCUUUGUAGCUCCCUCUUUCCUCUCCAAGGAAGGAGAAGCUGUGCUAAUAUAGGGCUACAUUUUUAGACAGAAAAGACCUAGCCGUUGGCUCAUAAUUUCUUUUAGCUGAAUCUAAUAGCGUUCGGCGACAAGAUAUUACCACGGCGUAACCUGCUCUACUGACCAGUGGACAGAUGAGCCCCAGUCAUCUAUGAGCCCCGGCGACACAGCGGGGUGGAGAUUAACCCCCAGGCGCUGGAUCCAGGUGGCCGCGGAAAGCAGUACCUGCUCUGUCAGGGUUGCCACGAAAACAGUCCCUCCGGGCACCUGGGUGGCUCAGUUGGCUAAGCGUCCGCCUUCAGCUCAGGUCACGAUCUCACGGUUUGUGGGUUCGAGCCUUGCGUCG